UAUGGAUCCUUCUACGGAGAGUUUGAUCCUGGCUCAGGAUGAACGCUAGCGACAGGCCUAACACAUGCAAGUCGAGGGGCAGCGGGAUUGAAGCUUGCUUUAAUUGCCGGCGACCGGCGCACGGGUGCGUAACAGGUGUGCAAUCUGUCCAUAGUCGGGGAAUAGCCCAGCGAAAGUUGGAUUAAUGCUCCAUGUGAAUCGAGACCGCAUGAUCUUGAUUUGAAACGUAAGGACUAUGGGUGAGCACGCUUCUGAUUAGAUAGUUGGUGAGGUAACGGCUCACCAAGUCGACGAUCAGUAGGGGUUCUGAGAGGAAGGUCCCCCACAUUGGAACUGAGACACGGUCCAAACUCCUACGGGAGGCAGCAGUGAGGAAUAUUGGUCAAUGGGCGAGAGCCUGAACCAGCCAAGUCGCGUGAAGGAUGAAGGUUCUAGGGAUUGUAAACUUCUUUUGUCCGAGGGUAAAAAAGGCUACGUGUAGCUUCUUGCAAGUAUCGGACGAAUAAGCAUCGGCUAACUCCGUGCCAGCAGCCGCGGUAAUACGGAGGAUGCGAGCGUUAUCCGGAUUUAUUGGGUUUAAAGGGUGCGUAGGUGGUUUGUUAAGUUUGUGGUGAAAGCGUGCGGCUCAACCGUACCAAGCCAUGAAAACUGGCGAACUUGAGUGCAAACGAGGUAGGCGGAAUGUGAUGUGUAGCGGUGAAAUGCUUAGAUAUGUCACAGAACCCCGAUUGCGAAGGCAGCUUACCAGCAUGCAACUGACACUGAGGCACGAAAGCGUGGGUAUCAAACAGGAUUAGAUACCCUGGUAGUCCACGCAGUAAACGAUGAAUACUAGCUGUUGGCGAUAUAAUGUCAGCGGUACAGCGAAAGUGUUAAGUAUUCCACCUGGGGAGUACGCCGGCAACGGUGAAACUCAAAGGAAUUGACGGGGGCCCGCACAAGCGGAGGAACAUGUGGUUUAAUUCGCUGAUACGCGAGGAACCUUACCCGGGCUUGAAAGUUAGUGACGGCGGAUGAAAGUCUGCUUCCUUCGGGGCACGAAACUAGGUGCUGCAUGGUUGUCGUCAGCUCGUGCCGUGAGGUGUCGGCUUAAGUGCCAUAACGAGCGCAACCCUUGCCGUUAGUUGCCAGCGGGUGAUGCCGGGAACUCUAGCGGGACUGCUACUGUAAGGUAGAGGAAGGUGGGGAUGACGUCAAAUCAGCACGGCCCUUACGUCCGGGGCGACACACGUGUUACAAUGGUAGGUACAGAGGGUUGCUACCCCGCGAGGGGAUGCUAAUCUCCUAAAACCUAUCUCAGUUCGGAUCGGAGUCUGCAACUCGACUCCGUGAAGCUGGAUUCGCUAGUAAUCGCGCAUCAGCCAUGGCGCGGUGAAUACGUUCCCGGGCCUUGUACACACCGCCCGUCAAGCCAUGGAAGCUGGGGGUACCUAAAGUCUGCAACCGCAAGGAGCGGCCUAGGGUAAAACUGGUAACUGGGGCUAAGUCGUAACAAGGUAGCCGUACCCGGAAGGUGGGAUCCAUA
This 1525-nucleotide ribosomal RNA is filed under the name rumen bacterium YS3. Its description in RNAcentral is "bacterial SSU rRNA". It matches the Rfam family "Bacterial small subunit ribosomal RNA". Lineage: Bacteria; Pseudomonadati; Bacteroidota; Bacteroidia; Bacteroidales. The record is from RNAcentral.